AUUGAUUUGAUUUUGUCCGGUUUUAGACGGUUUUAGAUUCAAACGUUUAAUUCGAAAUUUUUUCUUAAAAUUAAAAAUUUUGAUUUUAUUUUGGAAUAAGAAAAUUUAAAAAUUAAUCCAAACCGAAAAUGCGAAGUACGUAAUUAAAGCGAAUAGAAGUAUUCUGACCGUCAAAUUUUCUUCCAAAAAUGUCUUUUCAAAUAUAACCAAACUUAAAAUAACCAUUACAAGAUAAUUUUUUAAAUUAUCAACCGAUAUAAUUUAAAUUUUUAAAUUAAUGUAAAUUUACCAUACAUAAAAGUAGUAAAGCACAUAAGAAUUUUGGAUUUAACGAGUGGGAAUCCUAAAUAGAGUAAAAGAAAUAUGCCAUACACUUUAAAGAAAAUGCCAAUUUGCUUAAAGAAUUCAUCGAUUUUGAAUUUUUGCCAAAAUGGGCUAAUUUUUUAGAUUUUGCAUAUUCGCCCUGAAUUUUUGGUAAAUGAAAGAAAAUACGCUUAUUCUUGUUUCCCUCUUCUUCUUUUUUUUACCUUUCAUUCGAUUAUCUCCUCUUAGUUCAUCUCCCUCUUCCUUACCAUUUCUUCCUCCUUUUUUUUCUCCUCUCAUUUCCGCCCCCUUCUCCUCCUCCUCCACUACCCCUAUAUUGAGGGCUUUUUGCAUUUAACCCUCUCACAAAUUUUUUUUCACAAAUAGUCCCACAAAAUUUAUAAUUAUAAAACUGGCCCUAUCUCCGUCAUGCAAGCGCCACGUCAACAGCUAGCUGGCAUAAGUUAAACACGGCGAACCAUCACCAUGUUUAGAUACGGUAAAUGGUUCACCAUGUUUAAGCUAAAUUGUUUGAGUUUCUUUUGCACUGCAUGGUUGGCUACUAUUCAGCCCGUCCAAAUACGAUGAAUGGUUCACUGUGUUUAAACAUGGUGAAUCAUUUAUCGUGUUCAACUUAACCCUCCACUGUCGCUGACAUGGCCGCUUACAUAGCGCUUGCAUGGUAGGGAUAGGGGCAGUUUUGCAAUUAUAAAUUUUGCGGGGCUAUUUGUGAAAAAAAUUUAAGAAGAGGUUAAAUGCAAAAAAAGCCCCUAUAUUGAUGCUGCACUUCUCUCUCUUACCUCCCCACACCUCCGUUGACACCAACACCUAUAUAGCACAAAUCGGGGAGGUAAGGCUGCACAGAGGGCAUGACCACGAAUUAUGAUGAGGGUGCCGUAGGAUUUGAGGAAGAAGGUGAGGAAAAGUACAUUGGGGCGGAGGCAAUUGUUGUGGUAGGAGCGAGAGAAGGGGCAUGAUAGCGUAAAAACAUGCAGAGAAUGAAAGAAAAAGAAAAAAAAAUUAAAAAAUAAAGAAAAGAUAUGUAUUUUUCUUCUCUGAAAAGUCCAUCAUAUGUUGUGGUCGCUAUAGGAAAUGCCAAGAAGUAGAGGGAAAAACAAAAGAUGAAGUUACGCUGUUUGAAACUAGGUUGCACUGUUUGAUGCUAAGUUGCACCAUUUAAAAUUAUGUGAGACUAAAUUCAACUAUAUAAAAUAAAAGUUACACUGUUUGAGACUAAUUUGCAUUAUUUUAAACUUAAAUUACAGCAUUUAAAAUUAUUUGAGACUUAAAUUGCAGUGUUUGAGAAGUUGCAAUUUAGUCUCAAAUAGUUCUAGAUGGUGCAACUUAAGUCUUAAAUAGUGCAAUUUAGUUUUAAACAGUACAAUUUCUCUUUAUGUGGUGCAACUUAAUCUUAGAUAGUUUUAUGUGAUGCUGUACUUUUCAGGAGGUCACCUAUCCUAUAAAUACUUUAGGCCUAUCAUGUGUAACCCUCUUAACCUUUUGAUCUCAGCCACUACCCGAUAUGCUACAACCAAGUUAAGAAACUCAUAAGCGUCAAGCAAUGUGAGACUCGUCUCGCUAGCUUU
Molecule: long non-coding RNA, 1889 nt
Filed under: Ananas comosus (pineapple)
Lineage: Eukaryota; Viridiplantae; Streptophyta; Magnoliopsida; Poales; Bromeliaceae
Description: long non-coding RNA (ACOM_LNC030664)
Source: RNAcentral